GACGAACGCUGGCGGCGUGCCUAAUACAUGCAAGUCGAGCGAAGUUUUUCUGGUGCUUGCACCGGAAAAACUUAGCGGCGAACGGGUGAGUAACACGUAAAGAACCUGCCUUAUAGACUGGGACAACUAUUGGAAACGAUAGCUAAUACCGGAUAAUAGCAUUAACUGCAUGGUUGAUGUUUGAAAGUUGGUUUUGCUAACACUAUGAGAUGGCUUUGCGGUGCAUUAGCUAGUUGGUGGGGUAAAGGCCUACCAAGGCGACGAUGCAUAGCCGACCUGAGAGGGUGAUCGGCCACACUGGGACUGAGACACGGCCCAGACUCCUACGGAAGGCAGCAGUAGGGAAUCUUCCGCAAUGGGCGAAAGCCUGACGGAGCAACGCCGCGUGAGUGAAGAAGGAUUUCGGUUCGUAAAGCUCUGUUGUUAGGGAAGAAUGAUUGUGUAGUAACUAUACACAGUAGAGACGGUACCUAACCAGAAAGCCACGGCUAACUACGU
Molecule: ribosomal RNA, 498 nt
Filed under: uncultured bacterium
Lineage: Bacteria
Description: partial 16S ribosomal RNA
Rfam family: Bacterial small subunit ribosomal RNA
Source: RNAcentral